Molecule: ribosomal RNA, 394 nt
Filed under: uncultured bacterium
Lineage: Bacteria
Description: bacterial SSU rRNA
Rfam family: Bacterial small subunit ribosomal RNA
Source: RNAcentral
GUGUCAGCAGCCGCGGUAAUACGUAGGGGGGUUUGCUCGAGAGGAUUUACUGGGCGUAAAGCGCGCGUAGGCGGAACGUUAAGCGGGGCCGGAAAGCCCCCGGCUCAACCGGGGAAGGGGCCGCGAACUGGCGUUCUUGAGGGGGAGAGGGGAGAGCGGAAUUCCUGGUGUAGCGGUGAAAUGCGUAGAGAUCAGGAGGAACACCCAUGGCGAAGGCAGCUCUCUGGCUUCACCCUGACGCUGAGGCGCGAAAGCGUGGGGAGCGAACGGGAUUAGAUACCCCGGUAGUCCACGCCGUAAACGAUGGUCACUAGGCGUUCGCGGUAUCGACCCCGCGAGUGCCGCAGCUAACGCAGUAAGUGACCCGCCUGGGGAGUACGGCCGCAAGGUUGAA